GGGCCCGCACAAGUGGUGGAGCAUGUGGUUUAAUUCGAAGCAACGCGCAGAACCUUACCAGCCCUUGACAUCCCGAUCGCGGUUACCAGAGAUGGUUUCCUUCAGUUAGGCUGGAUCGGUGACAGGUGCUGCAUGGCUGUCGUCAGCUCGUGUCGUGAGAUGUUGGUUAAGUCCCGCAACGAGCGCAACCCUCGCCCCUUAGUUGCCAGCCUUAAGUUGGGCACUCUAAGGGGACUGCCGGUGAUAAGCCGAGAGGAAGGUGGGGAUGACGUCAAGUCCUCAUGGCCCUUACGGGCUGGGCUACACACGUGCUACAAUGGUGGUGACAGUGGGCAGCGAGACGGCAACGUCGAGCUAA
RNAcentral lists this ribosomal RNA (358 nucleotides) under uncultured bacterium. RNAcentral's name for it is "bacterial SSU rRNA". It matches the Rfam family "Bacterial small subunit ribosomal RNA", at positions 917 to 1271 of the family's 1533-position model. The record is from RNAcentral.